RNAcentral lists this ribosomal RNA (1203 nucleotides) under seawater metagenome. Its description in RNAcentral is "bacterial LSU rRNA". It matches the Rfam family "Bacterial large subunit ribosomal RNA", at positions 1280 to 2467 of the family's 2925-position model. The record is from RNAcentral.
UAUCAGAAGUGCGAAUGCUGACAUGAGUAACGAUAAGGGAGGUGAAAACCCUCCCCGCCGGAAGACCAAGGGUUCCUGUCCAACGCUAUUCGAGGCAGGGUGAGUCGGCCCCUAAGGAGAGGCUGAAGAGCGUAUCCGAUGGGAAACUGGUUAAUAUUCCAGUACUGCUCAUAACUGCGAUGGGGUGACGGAGAAGGCUAGACUAGCGCGGCGUUGGUUGUCCGCGUUUAAGGUAGUAGGCUAAGGACUUAGGUAAAUCCGGGUCCUUGUUAGGCUGAGAACCGAUGACGAGUUCCUAUAUGGAAUGAAGUAGUUGAUGCCAUGCUUCCAGGAAAAACCUCUAAGCUUCAGGUUAUGACUAACCGUACCCCAAACCGACACAGGUGGUCAGGUAGAGAAUACUAAGGCGUAUGAGAAAACUCGGGUGAAGGAACUAGGCAAAAUGGCACCGUAACUUCGGGAGAAGGUGCGCCGGUUUUGGUGAUGGGACUUGCUCCCUAAGCUGAGGCCGGUCGAAGAUACCAGGUGGCUGCGACUGUUUAUUAAAAACAUAGCACUCUGCAAACUCGAAAGAGGACGUAUAGGGUGUGACGCCUGCCCGGUGCCGGAAGGUUAAUUGAUGGGGUUAGCUUCGGCGAAGCUCUUGAUCGAAGCCCCGGUAAACGGCGGCCGUAACUAUAACGGUCCUAAGGUAGCGAAAUUCCUUGUCGGGUAAGUUCCGACCUGCACGAAUGGCGUAACGAUGGCCACACUGUCUCCACCCGAGACUCAGUGAAAUUGAAUUAGCGGUUAAGAUGCCGUUUACCCGCGGCUAGACGGAAAGACCCCGUGAACCUUUACUACAGCUUCACAGUGGACUUUGAUAUUACUUGUGUAGGAUAGCUGGGAGGCUUUGAAACUUUGUCGCUAGAUAGAGUGGAGCCAAUCUUGAAAUACCAGCCUGGUAAUAUUGAGGUUCUAACCUAGGUCCCUAAGCGGGAUCAGGGACAUUGUGUGGUGGGUAGUUUGACUGGGGCGGUCUCCUCCCAAAGAGUAACGGAGGAGCACGAAGGUACCCUCAGCAUGGUCGGAAAUCAUGCAAUGAGCGCAAGAGUAGAAGGGUGCUUGACUGCGAGAUAGACACAUCGAGCAGGUACGAAAGUAGGUUCUAGUGAUCCGGUGGUUCUGUAUGGAAGGGCCAUCGCUCAACGGAUAAAAGGUACU